ACCGUUCUACUGGUUGGAAGAGAUUGUGGAAAAGCAUCAGCGAGACAAGACAACAACUCUGGACCAAUGAGGAGAGAGAAGACACAGAGGACUGAGGAGACACAGAAAAUCCUGCUGGACAUUCAUAAAAAAUGUUUCUUGAUGGACCAGGGGGAUAGCUGAGGACAGGACAGCAUGAAGAGACAGAGAUCAUGUGAAAUUCAAGGAUGACCUUUCAACCCUGGAUUUCAUUUCUGCUUUGCAGCUUCAAGUGUGGAAAAGUUGAUGAGAGGAAAUCUUUGAGGUUCAGCUCAGUGAACAGGGCAGCACCAGACGACAAGAAGAAACCAGACUGCUAGGAUUCUCCUUGAGACGGACCAAACCUCGCUUUCCUGUUCAAACACUGACAAAAUACCAAAGCCCAAGACAAACCAUCAGUUUCUAAAAAGACAUGAACUUUGGGAUACAAAACUCUUUGGACUUUAUUGACUUCAAAUAAAGAAUCACAAAACACAAAUGUGGAUGUUAACUUGUGAAACCUGCUCUGUCAAAGUUCUGACUCUGCUGCGUUGGGGUUGUUUGACACCUUUAAGUUUUAGACUCUCAUUUAUUUCCAAGUCCACCAUGUUUUCCAGUCUUAUGUAGUUUUCCACAUAGGAUUCCCAAGUCAGUGGAUCCAUGGGGCCACUGUCUCUGGAGGCCCUCAAACUGUCCCUAAAGACGGUCAUGGACACAUUGACUGCUGUUUGACUCGGUCAUAAACUGUCCCAAUUCCUCCUGGGAGUCUGGGAACCCACAGUCUGUUCUGCCAAACCCAGGAGUAAAAUAUGCACAGGGCACAUAGUUUAGUUCUAUAUUUAUAUUUCUACAUUCAACUGUUACUACCAGCUGCUAUGACUAUUGUUGAAAACUGUUGUAAUGCUUAAUUGUAUUUAUAUAUAAAUAUUAGAAAUGAACAUUUUUAUGUCAUC
This is a long non-coding RNA of Gambusia affinis (western mosquitofish), 950 nucleotides long. RefSeq lists it as uncharacterized. The transcript has 3 exons. Lineage: Eukaryota; Metazoa; Chordata; Actinopteri; Cyprinodontiformes; Poeciliidae. The record is from RefSeq and is a predicted model, not a curated record.